GACGAACGCUGGCGGCGUGCUUAACACAUGCAAGUCGAACGGAAAGGCCCUGCUUUUGUGGGGUGCUCGAGUGGCGAACGGGUGAGUAACACGUGAGUAACCUGCCCUUGACUUUGGGAUAACUUCAGGAAACUGGGGCUAAUACCGGAUAGGAGCUCCUGCUGCAUGGUGGGGGUUGGAAAGUUUCGGCGGUUGGGGAUGGACUCGCGGCUUAUCAGCUUGUUGGUGGGGUAGUGGCUUACCAAGGCUUUGACGGGUAGCCGGCCUGAGAGGGUGAGCGGCCACAUUGCGACUGCGAUACGGCCCAGACUGCAACGGGAGGCAGCGGUGGGGAAUAUUGCACAACGGGAGGAAGCCUGAUGUAGAAACGCCGCGUGCGGGAUGACGGCCUUCGGGUUGUAAACCGAUUUCGCAUGUGACGAGGCGUGAGUGACGGUAAUGGGUAAAGAAGCACCGGCUAACUACGUG
This 468-nucleotide ribosomal RNA is filed under the name uncultured bacterium. RNAcentral's name for it is "partial 16S ribosomal RNA". It matches the Rfam family "Bacterial small subunit ribosomal RNA", at positions 28 to 507 of the family's 1533-position model. The record is from RNAcentral.